This 14370-nucleotide long non-coding RNA is filed under the name Triticum aestivum (bread wheat). Its description in RNAcentral is "long non-coding RNA (TAES_LNC010297)". Lineage: Eukaryota; Viridiplantae; Streptophyta; Magnoliopsida; Poales; Poaceae. The record is from RNAcentral.
AUUACUGGACUCGGACUAGGACUGGUGGCGGAGAUGAAUCUGGUGGAACUCGGACUGGUGGCGGAGAUGAAUCUGGUGGAACACGGACAGGUGGCGGAUAUAUGUUGCAGGUGAACUCGGAUUGGCGUGAUGGCGGCGGAUAUGUGGUGGCGUAUAUGGAUUCGGAUUGGCGGUGAAUAUGUGGUGGUGGUAUAUGGGAAUAGCGACGAUGAUGAUGCGGUGGUGAUAUAUGGCAGCGGCGACGUGACAACCUGUGAACAGAACUCGAAACUCUAAAAGACUAGACGCUAAGACCAGCAACUGGACACGACGAUGCAACCGCAAAUUCAACAAAGCAAAUACAGAAACGAUUAUGCAAGGCUCAGAUUGGUUCGGAUGGGAUGAACUAACCCUAAUUUUUUUUGGCUUUUUCGUGGACUAUAGGUAUGAAGAACAGACUCGAUCUAAACUACGAAAAACUGUAAAAUCUCACCGAGCAACCUGGAAAUCUGAUACCACUUGAUAGAGGCAAAGGUGUCCCGUCUUUCGAUGAGAUGAUGGAUAUUGCUUUGGUGGAAGUCGACUUUGACGAUCCGACUACGAACGUGCGAGGACGUCGCGCCUUAGCAAUCGCUAAACCAACUCCGAGAGGUUAUUGACCACGCCGGAGCACGAUCAACCUGACCACGAGGGUCUGUUUCCUGCGAGCAAACGAAGAACAAGCAAGAAACUGAGAUUGCAAUCGGGAUAUUGCGAAUAUAAGAUGAAAGCUUUAUUGAUCAAGGUGGGGUUCUGUGACGUCUUGGUCUGGUCGUUGGACACAAACGAAGUACGCGAAGUUGCAGCUAUGGCGAACUUUUAAUCUAAACAAAACCCAAAGUCUAAACGACGCCCUAAGGGCUGUAUAUAUGGAGGAAGAGGGGGGAAUUUCGUGGCCCUUGAGGGUGGGGUCCGAAACCAACCCUAACUCUUGUUUCCCCACACAUACGGACUCUAAAAAUAGCCUAUACUAAAGUAUUUAGAAAUUACAGGGGCCUGGCCCAUUAAUAAGGUGACGCAGCACCUAGAAUAGCCUAUGGACGAAUAUUAUGAAGUGGCAUCUUGUAUAUUUCGUCCAAUUCUUCAUGCACUCCUUAUGGCGGCUUCAAAGUCCUGAAAUCAUCACUUGUAACUCCGUUCUUGAUCCCCUUGCGCAUGCCAUCAACUCCAUGCGUGUUCUUGCUCCAAUGUUCAUCCUUCUCCAAGCUAGGCCCUUCAUUUGUAAGCAAAACAAAUGUAUCCAAUUUAGGCAGCAUCAUAUUCUCAUGAACAUUAGAAUCAUUACCAAGAAGCGAAAGUACCUGAUAAUUUAAUUGGCGUGCGCGAGCUCUAGUAAUUGGUCCCGUAUAUGUAGCAGUAGGGGCUGUGGGUGUAACAAUGGUAUUGAUGUCCUCAUCAGAACUUGCUCCAAGGUUCAAAUUUCUUGUCCAAGCUAGGUCCUUAAUUUGUAAGCAAAACAAAUGUAUCCAAUUUAGGCAGCAUCAUAUUCUCAUGAACAUUAGAAUCGUUACCAAGAAAUGAAAGUACCUGAUUAUUUAAUUGGCGUGCGCAAGCUCUAGUAAUUGGUCCAAUAUGUAUAACAGCAGGGGCUAUGGAUGUAACAAUGGUAUUGAUGUCCUCAUCAGAAAUGAACCUAUUGAUAUGCAGCAAAAGGUAGACUACACUAGACAAGCCAUGAAGUGAAAACACGAAGACUAUCAGCAGCGAGGUAGUAUGGAUCAGGAUGGAAGAUAGUAUGAAACCAAACAGUAAAGAGUCUUCACUUAGUGAAGUCAAUUAGAUUAUACAGGCAUGCAAUGACUUCAUGAUAGAGGCUAAGGUGUCCCGAUGUUUCGAUGAGAUGGUGGCUAUCGUUUUCUGUGGGAGUCGACCUUGACGAUCCGACUACGAACGUGCGAGACGUCGCGCCUUAGCAAUCGCUAAACCAACUUCCGAGGGUUAUUGACCACGCCGGAGCACGAUCAACCUGACCACGAGGGUCUGUUUCCUGCGAGCAAACGAAGAACAAGCAAGAAACUGAGAUUGCAAUCGGGAUAUUGCGAAUAUAAGAUGAAAGCUUUAUUGAUCAAGGUGGGGUUCUGUGACAUCUUGGUCUGGUCGUUGGACACAAACGAAGUACGCGAAGUUGCAGCUAUGGCGAACUUUUAAUCUAAACAAAACCCAAAGUCUAAAAGACGCCCUAAGGGCUGUAUAUAUGGAGGAAGAGGGGGGAAUUUCGUGGCCCUUGAGGGUGGGGUCCGAAACCAACCCUAACUCUUGUUUCCCCACACAUACGGACUCUAAAAAUAGCCUAUACUAAAGUAUUUAGAAAUUACAGGGGCCUGGCCCAUUAAUAAGGUGACGCAGCACCUAGAAUAGCCUAUGGACGAAUAUUAUGAAGUGGCAUCUUGUAUAUUUCGUCCAAGGCUUCAUGCACUCCUUAUGGCGGCUUCAAAGUCCUGAAAUCAUCACUUGUAACUCCGUUCUUGAUCCCCUUGCGCAUGCCAUCAACUCCAUGCGUGUUCUUGCUCCAAUGUUCAUCCUUCUCCAAGCUAGGCCCUUCAUUUGUAAGCAAAACAAAUGUAUCCAAUUUAGGCAGCAUCAUAUUCUCAUGAACAUUAGAAUCAUUACCAAGAAGCGAAAGUACCUGAUAAUUUAAUUGGCGUGCGCGAGCUCUAGUAAUUGGUCCCGUAUAUGUAGCAGUAGGGGCUGUGGGUGUAACAAUGGUAUUGAUGUCCUCAUCAGAACUUGCUCCAAGGUUCAUCUUUCUUGUCCAAGCUAGGUCCUUAAUUUGUAAGCAAAACAAAUGUAUCCAAUUUAGGCAGCAUCAUAUUCUCAUGAACAUUAGAAUCGUUACCAAGAAAUGAAAGUACCUGAUUAUUUAAUUGGCGUGCGCAAGCUCUAGUAAUUGGUCCAAUAUGUAUAACAGCAGGGGCUAUGGAUGUAACAAUGUUAUUGAUGUCCUCAUCAGAAAUGAACCUAUUGAUAUGCAGCAAAAGGUAGACUACACUAGACAAGCCAUGAAGUGAAAACACGAAGACUAUCAGCAGCGAGGUAGUAUGGAUCAGGAUGGAAGAUAGUAUGAAACCAAACAGUAAAGAGUCUUCACUUAGUGAAGUCAAUUAGAUUAUACAGGCAUGCAAUGACUUCAUGAUAGAGGCUAAGGUGUCCCGAUGUUUCGAUGAGAUGGUGGCUAUCGUUUUCUGUGGGAGUCGACCUUGACGAUCCGACUACGAACGUGCGAGACGUCGCGCCUUAGCAAUCGCUAAACCAACUUCCGAGGGUUAUUGACCACGCCGGAGCACGAUCAACCUGACCACGAGGGUCUGUUUCCUGCGAGCAAACGAAGAACAAGCAAGAAACUGAGAUUGCAAUCGGGAUAUUGCGAAUAUAAGAUGAAAGCUUUAUUGAUCAAGGUGGGGUUCUGUGACGUCUUGGUCUGGUCGUUGGACACAAACGAAGUACGCGAAGUUGCAGCUAUGGCGAACUUUUAAUCUAAACAAAACCCAAAGUCUAAAAGACGCCCUAAGGGCUGUAUAUAUGGAGGAAGAGGGGGGAAUUUCGUGGCCCUUGAGGGUGGGGUCCGAAACCAACCCUAACUCUUGUUUCCCCACACAUACGGACUCUAAAAAUAGCCUAUACUAAAGUAUUUUGAAAUUACAAGGGCCUGGCCCAUUAAUAAGGUGACGCAGCACCUAGAAUAGCCUAUGGACGAAUAUUAUGAAGUGGCAUCUUGUAUAUUUCGUCCAAGGCUUCAUGCACUCCUUAUGGCGGCUUCAAAGUCCUGAAAUCAUCACUUGUAACUCCGUUCUUGAUCCCCUUGCGCAUGCCAUCAACUCCAUGCGUGUUCUUGCUCCAAUGUUCAUCCUUCUCCAAGCUAGGCCCUUCAUUUGUAAGCAAAACAAAUGUAUCCAAUUUAGGCAGCAUCAUAUUCUCAUGAACAUUAGAAUCAUUACCAAGAAGCGAAAGUACCUGAUAAUUUAAUUGGCGUGCGCGAGCUCUAGUAAUUGGUCCCGUAUAUGUAGAAGUAGGGGCUGUGGGUGUAACAAUGGUAUUGAUGUCCUCAUCAGAACUUGCUCCAAGGUUCAUCUUUCUUGUCCAAGCUAGGUCCUUAAUUUGUAAGCAAAACAAAUGUAUCCAAUUUAGGCAGCAUCAUAUUCUCAUGAACAUUAGAAUCGUUACCAAGAAAUGAAAGUACCUGAUUAUUUAAUUGGCGUGCGCAAGCUCUAGUAAUUGGUCCAAUAUGUAUAACAGCAGGGGCUAUGGAUGUAACAAUGGUAUUGAUGUCCUCAUCAGAAAUGAACCUAUUGAUAUGCAGCAAAAGGUAGACUACACUAGACAAGCCAUGAAGUGAAAACACGAAGACUAUCAGCAGCGAGGUAGUAUGGAUCAAGAUGGAAGAUAGUAUGAAACCAAACAGUAAAGAGUCUUCACUUAGUGAAGUCAAUUAGAUUAUACAGGCAUGCAAUGACUUCAUGAUAGAGGCUAAGGUGUCCCGAUGUUUCGAUGAGAUGGUGGCUAUCGUUUUCUGUGGGAGUCGACCUUGACGAUCCGACUACGAACGUGCGAGACGUCGCGCCUUAGCAAUCGCUAAACCAACUUCCGAGGGUUAUUGACCACACCGGAGCACGAUCAACCUGACCACGAGGGUCUGUUUCCUGCGAGCAAACGAAGAACAAGCAAGAAACUGAGAUUGCAAUCGGGAUAUUGCGAAUAUAAGAUGAAAGCUUUAUUGAUCAAGGUGGGGUUCUGUGACGUCUUGGUCUGGUCGUUGGACACAAACGAAGUACGCGAAGUUGCAGCUAUGGCGAACUUUUAAUCUAAACAAAACCCAAAGUCUAAAAGACGCCCUAAGGGCUGUAUAUAUGGAGGAAGAGGGGGGAAUUUCGUGGCCCUUGAGGGUGGGGUCCGAAACCAACCCUAACUCUUGUUUCCCCACACAUACGGACUCUAAAAAUAGCCUAUACUAAAGUAUUUAGAAAUUACAGGGGCCUGGCCCAUUAAUAAGGUGACGCAGCACCUAGAAUAGCCUAUGGACGAAUAUUAUGAAGUGGCAUCUUGUAUAUUUCGUCCAAGGCUUCAUGCACUCCUUAUGGCGGCUUCAAAGUCCUGAAAUCAUCACUUGUAACUCCGUUCUUGAUCCCCUUGCGCAUGCCAUCAACUCCAUGCGUGUUCUUGCUCCAAUGUUCAUCCUUCUCCAAGCUAGGCCCUUCAUUUGUAAGCAAAACAAAUGUAUCCAAUUUAGGCAGCAUCAUAUUCUCAUGAACAUUAGAAUCAUUACCAAGAAGCGAAAGUACCUGAUAAUUUAAUUGGCGUGCGCGAGCUCUAGUAAUUGGUCCCGUAUGUAUAACAGCAGGGGCUAUGGAUGUAACAAUGGUAUUGAUGUCCUCAUCAGAAAUGAACCUAUUGAUAUGCAGCAAAAGGUAGACUACACUAGACAAGCCAUGAAGUGAAAACACGAAGACUAUCAGCAGCGAGGUAGUAUGGAUCAGGAUGGAAGAUAGUAUGAAACCAAACAGUAAAGAGUCUUCACUUAGUGAAGUCAAUUAGAUUAUACAGGCAUGCAAUGACUUCAUGAUAGAGGCUAAGGUGUCCCGAUGUUUCGAUGAGAUGGUGGCUAUCGUUUUCUGUGGGAGUCGACCUUGACGAUCCGACUACGAAUGUGCGAGACGUCGCGCCUUAGCAAUCGCUAAACCAACUUCCGAGGGUUAUUGACCACGCCGGAGCACGAUCAACCUGACCACGAGGGUCUGUUUCCUGCGAGCAAACGAAGAACAAGCAAGAAACUGAGAUUGCAAUCGGGAUAUUGCGAAUAUAAGAUGAAAGCUUUAUUGAUCAAGGUGGGGUUCUGUGACGUCUUGGUCUGGUCGUUGGACACAAACGAAGUACGCGAAGUUGCAGCUAUGGCGAACUUUUAAUCUAAACAAAACCCAAAGUCUAAAAGACGCCCUAAGGGCUGUAUAUAUGGAGGAAGAGGGGGGAAUUUCGUGGCCCUUGAGGGUGGGGUCCGAAACCAACCCUAACUCUUGUUUCCCCACACAUACGGACUCUAAAAAUAGCCUAUACUAAAGUAUUUAGAAAUUACAGGGGCCUGGCCCAUUAAUAAGGUGACGCAGCACCUAGAAUAGCCUAUGGACGAAUAUUAUGAAGUGGCAUCUUGUAUAUUUCGUCCAAGGCUUCAUGCACUCCUUAUGGCGGCUUCAAAGUCCUGAAAUCAUCACUUGUAACUCCGUUCUUGAUCCCCUUGCGCAUGCCAUCAACUCCAUGCGUGUUCUUGCUCCAAUGUUCAUCCUUCUCCAAGCUAGGCCCUUCAUUUGUAAGCAAAACAAAUGUAUCCAAUUUAGGCAGCAUCAUAUUCUCAUGAACAUUAGAAUCAUUACCAAGAAGCGAAAGUACCUGAUAAUUUAAUUGGCGUGCGCGAGCUCUAGUAAUUGGUCCCGUAUAUGUAGCAGUAGGGGCUGUGGGUGUAACAAUGGUAUUGAUGUCCUCAUCAGAACUUGCUCCAAGGUUCAUCUUUCUUGUCCAAGCUAGGUCCUUAAUUUGUAAGCAAAACAAAUGUAUCCAAUUUAGGCAGCAUCAUAUUCUCAUGAACAUUAGAAUCGUUACCAAGAAAUGAAAGUACCUGAUUAUUUAAUUGGCGUGCGCAAGCUCUAGUAAUUGGUCCAAUAUGUAUAACAGCAGGGGCUAUGGAUGUAACAAUGGUAUUGAUGUCCUCAUCAGAAAUGAACCUAUUGAUAUGCAGCAAAAGGUAGACUACACUAGACAAGCCAUGAAGUGAAAACACGAAGACUAUCAGCAGCGAGGUAGUAUGGAUCAGGAUGGAAGAUAGUAUGAAACCAAACAGUAAAGAGUCUUCACUUAGUGAAGUCAAUUAGAUUAUACAGGCAUGCAAUGACUUCAUGAUAGAGGCUAAGGUGUCCCGAUGUUUCGAUGAGAUGGUGGCUAUCGUUUUCUGUGGGAGUCGACCUUGACGAUCCGACUACGAACGUGCGAGACGUCGCGCCUUAGCAAUCGCUAAACCAACUUCCGAGGGUUAUUGACCACGCCGGAGCACGAUCAACCUGACCACGAGGGUCUGUUUCCUGCGAGCAACCGAAGAACAAGCAAGAAACUGAGAUUGCAAUCGGGAUAUUGCGAAUAUAAGAUGAAAGCUUUAUUGAUCAAGGUGGGGUUCUGUGACGUCUUGGUCUGGUCGUUGGACACAAACGAAGUACGCGAAGUUGCAGCUAUGGCGAACUUUUAAUCUAAACAAAACCCAAAGUCUAAACGACGCCCUAAGGGCUGUAUAUAUGGAGGAAGAGGGGGGAAUUUCGUGGCCCUUGAGGGUGGGGUCCGAAACCAACCCUAACUCUUGUUUCCCCACACAUACGGACUCUAAAAAUAGCCUAUACUAAAGUAUUUUGAAAUUACAGGGGCCUGGCCCAUUAAUAAGGUGACGCAGCACCUAGAAUAGCCUAUGGACGAAUAUUAUGAAGUGGCAUCUUGUAUAUUUCGUCCAAGGCUUCAUGCACUCCUUAUGGCGGCUUCAAAGUCCUGAAAUCAUCACUUGUAACUCCGUUCUUGAUCCCCUUGCGCAUGCCAUCAACUCCAUGCGUGUUCUUGCUCCAAUGUUCAUCCUUCUCCAAGCUAGGCCCUUCAUUUGUAAGCAAAACAAAUGUAUCCAAUUUAGGCAGUGAUAGAGGCAAAGGUGUCCCGUCUUUCGUUGAGAUGAUGGAUAUCGCUUUGGUGGAAGUCGACUUUGACGAUCCGACUACGAACGUGCGAGGACGUCGCGCCUUAGCAAUCGCUAAACCAACUCCGAGAGGUUAUUGACCACGCCGGAGCAUGAUCAACCUGACCACGAGGGUCUGUUUCCUGCGAGCAAACGAAGAACAAGCAAGAAACUAAGAUUGCAAUCUGGAUAUUGCGAAUAUAAGAUGAAAGCUUUAUUGAUCAAGGUGGGGUUCUGUGACGCCUUUGUCUGGUCGUUGAUCACAAACGAAGUACGCGAAGUUGCAGCUAUGGCGAACUUUAAUCUAAACAAAACCCGAAGGCUAAACGGUGCCCUAAGGGCUGUAUAUAUGGAGGAAGAGAGGGGGAAUUUCGUGGCCCUUGGUGGAGGGGUCCGAAAUCAACCCUAUCUCUGGUUUCCCCACACAUACGGACUCUAAAAAUAGCCUAUACUUAUGUAUUUCGAAAUUACAUGGGCCUGGCCCAAUAAAAAGGUGACGCAGCACCUAUAAUAGCCUCGGGACGAAAUUUAUGAAGUGGCAUCUUGUAUAUUUCGUCCAAGGCUUCAUGCACCCAUUAUGGUGGCUUCAAAGUCCUAAAAUCAUCACUUGUAACUCCGUUCUUGUUCCCCUUGCGCAUAGCAUCAUCUCCAUGCUUGUUCUUGCUCCAAUGUUCAUCCUUCUCCAAGCUAGGCCCUUCAUUUGUAAGCAAAACAAAUGUAUCCAAUUUAGGCAGCAUAAUAUUCUCAUGAACAUUAGAACCAUUACCAAGAAACGAAAGUACCUGAUAAUUUAAUUGGCAUGCGCGAGCUCUAGUAAUUGGUCCCGUAUUUGUAGCAGUAGGGGCUGUGGGUGUAACAAUGGUAUUGAUGUCCUCAUCAUCCUCCCCUUCUUGAAAUGAAGUCGUCCUCGACGGAAGCUCAUCUUCCUCACCCAAAUAAGGCUUCAAAUCUGCAAUGUUAAAAGUGGGACUAACCCCAAAAUCUGCAGGCAGCUCAAGUUUAUAUGCAUUAUCAUUUAUUUUCUCUAACACCUUAAAGGGACCAUCAACACGUGGCAUUAGCUUUGAUUUGCGCAAAUCAGGAAAUCUAUCCUUAUGCAAAUGUAACCAAACAAGAUCUCCAGGUGCAAACACAACAUGUUUUCUACCCUUAUCUCCAGCAAGUUUAUAUUUAGCAUUCAUACGCUCAAUGUUUUCCUUAGUUAACUCAUGCAUUUUUGAAAUCAAUUCAACAUGUUGUUUAGCAUCAAAAUUAACCUUCUCCGAAGAUGGAAGAGGCAACAAAUCAAUAGGUGCACGAGGUAGGAAACCAUACACAACUUCAAAAGGGCACAUCUUAGUAGUAGAAUGCAAUGAACGAUUAUAAGCAAAUUCAAUAUGAGGCAAGCAUUCCUCCCACAUUUUCUUAUUAUUCUUCAAAACAGCCCUAAGCAUAGUAGACAACGUUCUAUUGACUACUUCAGUUUAUCCAUCAGUUUGGGGGUGACAAGUAGUACUAAAAAGCAGUUUAGUCCCCAACUUAGCCCAUAAACAUCUCCGAAAGUGGCUAAGAAAUUUAGUAUCACGAUCUGAAACAAUAGUAUUUGGCACACCAGGCAAGCGAAUAAUUUCACGAAAGAACAAAUCAGCAACAUUAACAGCAUCAUCGCUUUUAUGACAUGGUAUAAAGUGUGCCAUUUUCGAGAAUCUAUCCACGACAACAAAUAUGCUAUCCCUCCCCUUCUUUGUUCGAGGUAAACCUAAAACAAAGUCCAUAGAUAUAUCCUCCCAAGGAACACUAGGUACAGGCAAAGGCAUAUAUAAACCAUGAGGAUUGAGUCGUGACUUAGCUUUUUGACAUGUAGUGCAUCGAGCAAUAAAACGCUCAACAUCCCGUCUCAUCUUUGGCCAAAAGAAAUGUGUAGCAAGUACGUCCUCCGUCUUUUUCACGCCAAAGUGUCCCAUUAAUCCUCCUCCAUGUGCCUCCUGCAACAACAAAAGACGAACGGAGCUAGCUGGAAUGCAUAGCUUGUUAGCACGAAACACAAAUCCAUCGUUAACGACAAACUUGUUCCUCAUUCUAGCUUCUUUACAAUUUUGCAUUACAUCUUUAAAAUCAGCAUCAUGCACAUAUUGAUCUUUGAUGGUCUCCAAACCAAAUAUUUUGAAGUCAAGUUGUGAAAGCAUAGUAUAGCGACGAGACAAUGCAUCGGCAAUAACAUUUUCUUUUCCCUUCUUGUGUUUAAUGACAUAAGGGAAAGUCUCAAUGAAUUCAACCCAUUUAGCAUGUCUACGAUUCAGUUUAGCUUGACUUUUAAUAUGUUUCAAAGAUUCAUGAUCAGAAUGUAUAACAAAUUCUUUGGGCCACAAAUAAUGUUGCCAUGUUUCUAAAGUCCGAACAAGAGCAUAUAAUUCUUUAUCAUAAGUAGAAUAAUUCAGACUAGGCCCACUCAAUUUUUCAGAAAAGUAUGCAACAGGUUUGCCAUCUUGUAAUAACACACCUCCUAAUCCAAUUCCACUAGCAUCACAUUCAAGCUCAAAAGUCUUAUUAAAAUCAGGAAGUUGGAGUAAAGGAGCAUGUGUCAACUUAUCUUUCAAUACCGAGAAGGCUUCUUCCUGUGCGGUACCCCAAAGAAAAGACACAUCUUUCUUUGUAAGCUCAUUGAGAGGUGCAGCAAUGGUGCUGAAAUCUCUCACAAAACGCCUAUAGAAUCCAGCGAGGCCAAGAAAACUCCUCACUUGUGUGACCGUUUUGGGCUGCGGCCAACUCUCAAUAGCUUCAAUCUUGGCUUUGUCAACUUCAAUUCCCUGUGGAGUAACAACAUAGCCGAGAAAAGAUACUCGGUCGGUGCAAAAGGUGCACUUCCCAAGGUUACCAAACAAACGUGCAUCACGUAGAGCAAUAAAAACAGCACGUAAAUGUUCCACAUGUUCUUCCAAAGAUCUGCUAUAAAUCAAUAUGUCAUCAAAGUAAACUACCACAAAUCGUCCAAUGAAAGCACGUAAAACUUCGUUCAUUAGUCUCAUGAAAGUACUAGGUGCAUUAGUUAACCCAAAAGGCAUGACUAACCACUCAUUUAUCCAAACUUAGUUUUAAAUGCUAUUUUUCAUUCAUCUCCCAAUAUCAUACGAAUUUGAUGGUAUCCACUACGCAAAUCAACUUUGGAGAAUAUUGUAGAGCCACUCAAUUCAUCAAGCAUAUCAUCUAGCCUAGGAAUAGGAUGACGAUAACGAAUAGUAAUAUUAUUUAUGCCUCUACAAUGAACGCACAUACGCGACGUACCAUCCUUUUUCGGCACUAAAAUGAUAGGAACAGCACAAGGACUAAGGGAUUCGCGUAUAUAACCUUUGUCGAGCAGUUCUUGUACUUGACGCAUAAUCUCCUUCGUCUCCUCUGAAUUGGUACGGUAUGGUGCAUGGUUGGGUAGCGAAGCACCGGGAAUUAAGUCAAUUUGAUGCUCAAUCCCUCGAAUAGGUGGUAAUCCCGGUGGCACGUCUUGUGGAAAGACGUCAGCGAACUCCUGCAAAAUGUUAGUGACAGCAGGGGGCAAAGAGGAAGGCACGUCCUCGAAUGAAAAUAAUGCCUCUUUGCACACAAAAGCAUAGCAAACAGAUUUGCUGAAAUCUAGCUCAUCAAUAUCAGAUUUGGUGGCAAAUAAACAUGCACUUAUCAAUUUAAUUUCAGAAGCAACACUAGAUGGUUUAUUAUUAGGCUGCAUUUGUUGCUCAAAUUCUUUUGCCACAAUCUGAUUUUCACUCUUAUUCUUCUCCUGUUUUGCUUUAUUAGCUCUAUUAAUAUCAUCUUUCAAAAUGGAAUCAGGAGUCAUAGGAAGCAAAGUAAUAUUUUUAUCCUUAUGAACAAGAGUAUAGUGAUUGUUUCUACCAUGGUGUACAUAAUUUUUAUCAAAUUGCCAUGGUCUACCAAGUAAUAAGGAACAUGCUUGCAUAGGUACCACAUCACAAUCAACAUAAUCAGCAUAUGUAGAGAUACUAAAAUGCACACGAACAGUACGUGUUACCUUAACCUUGCCGCUGUUGUUGAACCAUUGGAUGUAGUAAGGAUGUGGAUGUGGUCUUGUGGUGAGAGAAAGCUUCUCCACCAUCUCCAUGCUAGCCAAGUUGUUGCAGCUCCCUCCGUCUAUGAUGACGCGCACAGAACGUUCCUUCACAACUCCCUUGGUAUGGAACAAAUUGUGCCUCUGAUUUUGCUCAGCUUGUGUGACCUGCACACUCAAAAUACGUUGAGCAACUAAACAUUCAUACCUGUCAGCGUCUUCAGGAGCCAUGUAUUGCGUCUCAUGAUCAGAAUCAUCUCCACCAUGUUCUUCUCGUGUAAUAAGAGCCAAAUUCUCCUCAUCAUAGUCACUAGCGGACUCAUAUCCACCAUCCGUGGUAGCAAUCAUCACACGUGGAGAUUUGCAUUCUCUCGCAUAAUGACCUCCUCCCUUACAAUGACGACAAAUAAUAUCACUUGUGUGCCCUGUUGAUGCUAUGGAAGAAGAAGAACGUUGUGCAGGCCCGGGGGUGCGCGCUUGGCAGAUAAUGGUGGUUGUGCCUGUUUUCUUGUAUCACGGCUGGAGGUGGCACCUGAUGGAGGUGCUGGUGCAGUUGAAGUAGAAGAUGCACGUGGUGUCCAUGAUGAAGGUCGGCCUGCAGAAAAGUUAGUUCGCCCCAAUGCUUGUCGAUCCUGCACUUCACGUUCAGCUUUACAAGCAAGAUGGAAUAAACGAGUGAUACUAGUAUACUCCUUAUAGUCUAGAAUGGUUUGAAUCUCUCUAUUUAAUCCACCCAGAAAACGUGCAAGCAUAGCUUCAUUCUCCUCAACAAUACCACAUCUAAUCAUGCCAGUUUGUAAUUCCUGAUAAUAUUCUUCUACAGAAUUUUUUCCUUGUCUUAAGCGCUGUAAUUUCUGAAGCAAUUCACGUUGAUAAUAUGGUGGAACCCAACGAGUACGCAUAGCAGUUUUCAAAGCAGCCCAAGUAGUUGGAAUAGGAUAUAAUCUACAAUGUUCAGACCACCAUACACAUGCAAAACUAGUGAAAGCACAAACAGCAGCGGCAACCCGUCUCUCCUCGGGAUAUUGUAAACAUGUAAAUCGUUGUUCAGUUUCUAACUCCCAAGUAAGAUAUAUAUCAGGAACAUAUCUACUCUCGAAAGGUGGAAUAUUCAAUUUCAGUUUAGGAAGAUGGUCAUGAUCUCGUACCUGAGGGAAAGCCCUACCAUUGUGAUUAUUUGCAUGUGGAUGACCUGGUGGUUGUGGUGCAGGUGGUUGCACGUAGUUCUGAUUUUGAGCAACCUCAUCCUCGUAAUCUCCCACAUAAUCAUCCUCCUCCGCAUCAGCAGCAGGAGCCACAGAAGUAUCAACAGCAGCACCAACAGUUUGGCCAAACGCAAGAGGAACACGGCUCGCUCGGCGGAGAUCUGUUUCGCGACGUGGAGGUAGUCGUUGUUGUUGUUGUUGGAGAGGUGCGUUAGGUGCAGCGGGUGGCGGUGGUGGAAGACGCGCGAGCAAUUCAUUAAACUUGUUAUCGAGCUUUGUUUCGAACGUCUUCUCCAUGCCAUCUAUCUUCUCCAUGGCCUCUUCAAAUCUGUUUAGCACAUCUUGCACCUGUCCACUCAUCAUUUGCUGAAAUUUAUCAUGCAAAUCCUUAUUCGUCAUGUUCUCCCAGUCAGUCUCGUCGGCUUUUGAUCCUGGCAUGGUUAGCAGCAAUGGAAACACACAAGAAUAUGAUCCUACAGACUACUAACAAGAGGUGGUGGUGGGUGUCACAAAUCCGUCAAGCAAAUCUCAAAUUCUUACCAGUUCUUACCCAGUAGCAGGCGGUGAUCGGCAACCGUUAUAGUCAAAAACUCUCAAAGCUUGGAUAGAGCGAUUACCAGGGAGAGUCAAACGCACGACGUAGAUGUAUGUGGAGCUGGGAAGGCUUAUAAUAUGGUAGCAAAAUGGUCAGCAAUAAUCAAUUCAGAGAUGCAAAGUUGAAUAAACGCUCAACGACGGUACUAUGCUGGUCCUAGGCUAGACCGUACUAGAGACGCGAGCCUAGAACACUAACAAAAUCACGACGCUUCACGUAAACAAGGGAGGAGCACACUCUGAAUUUUUUUUCUCUUUUUUUUCCUCUUUUUUUUUGCUCCGCAACAAUUUUUUUCGAAAAAGUCUACAAAUGGCCUAAAAACUGCCUAGCCAGAAUUUUCCAGACUUAGUUUUUUUUUGAAACUGGAACUAUUUUUCUUUUGUGGAUGGCCCGGAAGUUGGGGAGUCCUCCGCUGUCACGACUCGGAGUAUCGCGUGAUCUGGAAAUCGAGAACAAUGCAACGAUUACUGGACUCGGACUAGGACUGGUGGCGGAGAUGAAACUGGUGGAACUCGGACUGGUGGCGGAGAUGAAUCUGGUGGAACUCGGACUGGUGGCGGAUAUAUGUUGCAGGUGGACUCGGAUGGGCGUGAUGGCGGCGGAUAUGUGGUGGCGUAUAUGGAUUCGGAUUGGCGGUGAAUAUGUGGUGGUGGUAUAUGGCAGCGGCGACGUGACAACCUGUGAACAAAACUCGAAACUCUAAAAGACUAGACGCUAAGACCAGCAACUUGACACGGCGAUGCAACCGCAAAUUCAACAAAGCAAAUACAGAAAAGAUUAUGCAAAGGCUCAGAUUGGUUCGGAUGGGAUGAACUAACCCUAAUUUUUU